Molecule: ribosomal RNA, 497 nt
Filed under: uncultured bacterium
Lineage: Bacteria
Description: partial 16S ribosomal RNA
Rfam family: Bacterial small subunit ribosomal RNA
Source: RNAcentral
GAUGAACGCUGGCGGCGUGCCUAAUACAUGCAAGUAGAACGCUGAAGCUUGGUGCUUGCACCGAGCGGAUGAGUUGCGAACGGGUGAGUAACGCGUAGGUAACCUGCCUCUUAGCGGGGGAUAACUAUUGGAAACGAUAGCUAAUACCGCAUAAAAGUCGAUAUCGAAUGAUAUUGAUUUGAAAGGUGCAAAUGCAUCACUAAGAGAUGGACCUGCGUUGUAUUAGCUAGUUGGUGAGGUAACGGCUCACCAAGGCGACGAUACAUAGCCGACCUGAGAGGGUGAUCGGCCACACUGGGACUGAGACACGGCCCAGACUCCUACGGGAGGCAGCAGUAGGGAAUCUUCGGCAAUGGGGGCAACCCUGACCGAGCAACGCCGCGUGAGUGAAGAAGGUUUUCGGAUCGUAAAGCUCUGUUGUAAGAGAAGAACGAGUGUGAGAGUGGAAAGUUCACACUGUGACGGUAACUUACCAGAAAGGGACGGCUAACUACGUG